Long non-coding RNA from Labeo rohita (rohu), 1335 nucleotides. RefSeq lists it as uncharacterized. Lineage: Eukaryota; Metazoa; Chordata; Actinopteri; Cypriniformes; Cyprinidae. The record is from RefSeq and is a predicted model, not a curated record. The transcript has 6 exons.
UGGUCAGUCGUCCCCCCCCUCCUCGCCACUCUCCUCUCCCCAACCUUGACUCUUGACUCCAAGCCAGACGCCGAGCCACCGUGACACCACGCCACCACGGAUACGCAGCCUGGCACUUCGGAGAAAGAGGGCGAAAGAUCGUACCGUGAGAUAGACGUGGCGCUGAUGGUCCCAUUGAGACACGUUCUUUAUGAAGUCAUAAAAGUGAAAGCUACGGGCAGACUGUUCAUCUAUUAGAAUGACCUUCCUUUUGAUGAUCGGCCCUUGUCAGCGGUGAUUUUUACUGCCCAGGAGAUAGCGUUUUCCCAUUCUAAUUUGGCCAACUUUGGGACUGCACUGAGGUUACUGGGGUCAAUAGCGUAGGGAUUGGUCUUUCAACAAGGGAGCCAUGGCAACAACACACAGCAUGUUAGCUGCCAGGUAUCGACCUCAAUAACUGGUGGUGCACCUUUAAAAGCUGCUGGAGCCCUGGCCCAGGAGCGGCCUAGAUCAAAGGAGCAGUCCAUCAAUAUCAUCUUGACUGUCAGCCCACAGAGCACUGAGAUACUCAAGUGGACCAAAGAAAUGGAAAAAGAAUGAGUGAAGAUCUAUGGAAAACAGAUCAAAGAAUGCUCUUUUCACAUAAUGGUUAAGAAUUCAGACACUGCAUUUGUCAUUUCUCAGUCUUUUAAAUUCAAGUUACUUUUGGCUAAAUCGUAAAGGUCAGUUGAAACAAACACUCAAGACUGGAUUUAAAACUCUUGUUGUUUAAUCACUACCAUGACCUGCAGCCCACCCAGAACAUAGGUGUUACACGAGUCAGUAGAGAUCUCAACUGGAGCGCUGCUUCAGGUAUCGACCAAAUGCUGCUGUCCACAUCGAUAACCACUGCGGUCCAGCCGAGUGUCUCUGGAGCUGCACAAACGAGGCAGAUAAAGAGCCGCUUUUGCUCAUCCGGGCUCAUCUGAGCUUGUUUCCUUUCACGAACAACGGUUCUUGUGCGUUAUUGCUGUUUCUUAGGAUAUUUUUAAGGUGUCAGUUACGAUGUUGAUCUGUUUUUCCUCAAACACAAAGUUAGGAUGACUCAUUACAGUGCUGCAAGACAGGCUGAUGCAAACCAUCCAAAUAAACACUUCUGCUCACCCUGAUUUUGCAAAGCAAGGCUUGUUUUAAGGUCUGGGAACCAUGCCAGCUUUGAAUGGCCAAGGACUGUUCUAGAGGCCAAAUGACUGACAGAUUGAUGGCAGAAGGUCCGGGAACCAUGCCUGCUUUGAAUGGCCAAGGACUGCCCAAGAGACCAUAUGACUGACAGUGUAGUGCUUCAGCCUGGUCAGUGUGAUCUACAGUAGAAGAGGC